UCAGUUCGGACUGGAGUCUGCAACCCGACUCCACGAAGCUGGAUUCGCUAGUAAUCGCGCAUCAGCCACGGCGCGGUGAAUACGUUCCCGGGCCUUGUACACACCGCCCGUCAAGCCAUGGGAGCCGGGGGGUACCUGAAGUGCGUAACCGCGAGGAGCGCCCUAGGGUAAAACUGGUGACUGGGGCUAAGUCGUAACAAGGUAAC
Molecule: ribosomal RNA, 206 nt
Filed under: uncultured bacterium
Lineage: Bacteria
Description: partial 16S ribosomal RNA
Rfam family: Bacterial small subunit ribosomal RNA
Source: RNAcentral